Vigna unguiculata (cowpea) is the source of this 418-nucleotide long non-coding RNA. The record is from RefSeq and is a predicted model, not a curated record. NCBI's taxonomy places the organism in Eukaryota, Viridiplantae, Streptophyta, Magnoliopsida, Fabales, Fabaceae.
AGUGGCAUUAUCUUUCUUCCACAAUUGCAAUAUCAGCAUAAUACAACCUAAGCACAAUCUCAACCAGGUUGGUGACAUGAGUUCCGCUAAUACAAAGAGAAUGUCUUACUCGGGUGCCGAUGAAAAUAUGAAAUUGCUACGACAAACGUUUGGGUCCAAAGCAAUGGACAUACUGUGGUUGUAUUCAGAACUUCUUCAAGUUAAAGAAUCCACGAUUGUAAUAGAAUAUCCAGAAGCAAACCAAAUACACUUUGAAAGCUUACCAAGUUUAAAGAAAUUUUCUUGUGGAGAUAUCGUUGAGUGGCCAUCUUUAAAAAAUGUGAUCGUGAAUCAUUGUCCCAACAUAAGAAAGUGUGGUUUGGGAAAAACAAAAUCUGUGAUAUUGGAAAAUCAAGAGUCUCUAGCAAAUAUUUUUGAA